GAUAAGAACGUAGCGAAAUGCGAUAAGUAAUGUGAAUUGCAGAAUUCCGUGAAUCAUCGAAUCUUUGAACGCACAUUGCGCCCCCUGGUAUUCCGGGGGGCAUGCCUGUCCGAGCGUCAUUGCAACCUUCAAGCGCGGCUUGUGUGUUGGGUCUCGUCCCCCGUGGACGGGCCCGAAAGGCAGUGGCGGCGUCCCGACAUGGUGCCCGAGCGUAUGGGAAUCCUCUUCCGCUCGAAUCGGCCCAUGCGGCGCUGGUCGUAACCAAAUUUUUUACCGGUUGACCUCGGAUCAGGUAGGGAUACCCGCUGAACUUAAGCAUAUCAAUAAGCGGAGGA
RNAcentral lists this unclassified non-coding RNA (335 nucleotides) under soil metagenome. RNAcentral describes it as "partial contains 5.8S ribosomal RNA, internal transcribed spacer 2, and large subunit ribosomal RNA". The stretch from base 4 to 119 matches the Rfam family "5.8S ribosomal RNA", at positions 39 to 154 of the family's 154-position model. The record is from RNAcentral.